CUACAAUGUAACUCACACAGAAACGGACCAAGCAUCAGACAAAAUCCCACGAGAAUAACAAAUAUAACAUCAAAACCAAAUACAUGAAUUUGGGAUAGACAAGUACCGUGACACGUCUUAUCGCAAUAUGAAUUUACACUAAAAAUUAAGAGAAAACAAACGACGCAACGUUAAAAUGUAACACACACAGAAACGAACUAUAAUAUAACAAUGGCCAUAUUCCUGACUUGGUACAGGAC
This 239-nucleotide long non-coding RNA is filed under the name Mytilus galloprovincialis (Mediterranean mussel). Lineage: Eukaryota; Metazoa; Mollusca; Bivalvia; Mytilida; Mytilidae. The record is from RNAcentral.